GUCGUUUUAUGCUCUCCAAUAUAAAACAUGUCUUUUUCCCUUCCCUUUCAGGCUGCUCCAUGCCUUCAAACUUCACGAAAUCUUGCUGCUCCAACGACCAAGCUGUGUUUUCUUCAAACUCUUCGCACAUGCAAUAGUUGAUCUGGGUUGAGCUUCAUCUCGCCUCACAAUGGGAUCUGGGUUUGCCAUUGCCUCUGGGUCUGGUUUCGCCUUCACCUCUGGGUCUGAUUUCGCCUUUUCCUCGCCUGCAUGUCCAACAAUCGCCUCUGGAUUCGACAGACGAUAGUUCUCAUGGGUCACUUUUCAUCUCUGUG
This 314-nucleotide unclassified non-coding RNA is filed under the name Hevea brasiliensis (rubber tree). Lineage: Eukaryota; Viridiplantae; Streptophyta; Magnoliopsida; Malpighiales; Euphorbiaceae. The record is from RNAcentral.